Molecule: long non-coding RNA, 2367 nt
Organism: Patella vulgata (common limpet)
Lineage: Eukaryota; Metazoa; Mollusca; Gastropoda; Patellidae
Exons: 5
Source: RefSeq, a predicted model, not a curated record
UGAUAAACGUGGUGUUAUGGCUAUACCACGAUCACUACAGGACGUAUUCCCUGGUUCACCUAUAGGUGUUGAUUUUGCUAUUACAUUACCUGACGGUUCAAGUACAUUUAUGUUUAGAGGUAAUAGUGUGUGGAAGUUUAAUGGUUAUGUUUUAGAUGAGAAAUAUCCUACUAUGUUUAAUGUACAGGAUUUACCUGAAUCUCCUAUAGGCGUCUUCUCUUCUGUAGACAACAAUAAUAAUAUAAUAUAUAUGUUUGGAAUGCAGAGAUUUUGGCGCUGGGAUCCUGAGAGAAUGUACGCUGAUAGAAGUAUUAUAUCUUAUGCAUCUAAAGGUUAUUGGUUGCUUGAUCUAUCUAGCUUUGGUCUAGUUACAACAUGGAAUGAUGGUGCUGUUUAUUUCAUAAAAUCUGACAGUCAUACGGUUAUGUUGGGUAAAACAGUAGCAGAUGGAUAUCCGAAAAAGGGAGUUCCGGUCUGGGUACAAAAUGGUUGCCACAGCAGCUCGUCCAAAUUAACAGCAUAUGUAUCCCAGUUAUUGAUGAUAGUGAUAUCCUUAAUUACAUAUCAGCUCACAUGAUUUAAUUCAGUGUUUGGUAUACCAAAGAUCUUUCAACCAAGAAGGGGAGAAAACUCUCAACAAUUUAUACGUUUCAUAUGUUUUUAGUUAGCCUUGUGUAUGUCAUGUUGGAUUGGAUCUCGCUCACUUUCAUCGGCACCAUGGGAUCGACGAGCGAGAGUAUACUUGAAUGUCAAGAAGUGUCUGCCAUUUUGAAUAAAGAGGUAUCAUUCACCAUUCAUUUAUAGCCGUGACUUCAUUGAACCCGUCCAAUGAUGAAACAAAAAUAAUCCAGAUCAAUCGAAAAACGUGUCUUAACUUUUCAAUGUUCAGAUCAGUUGAUCUACGACGAGGACCAUUUUAUACGCAUAUGUAGUCUCAACAGUGAUUAUUGGCGAUUUCACACCAGGGAAUUAUUGCUAGCUGUGCUGUGAUGAUAUUGUAAAAAUAUAAGCUGAAUCUUGGUAAUCAUAAUUUAUUCCCACCUAUAAUCAUAAUAGACUAUUCCAUGUGCAUCCCGGCAUUGGAGGACUUCAAGAUGCAUUAAGACCCUAAUCCUAUGGAUUGGUUAUUAUCUUUUGUAUGUUCGUUGUAGGAAAUCCGAUGUAAGUACUUUUAAUGUAAAUAAACAGUAAUAAUAGCGCGCUUUAUUGACGUAAGAUCAGAAAUGGUCUAAAUUAAUAAGUUAGUGAGAAACUGAAAAAUAAGAAAAGAAAAUUCACCGCAGUACACACUAAUUUGUCUUGUUUAAAGCCUCGUCAGGAAAAACAACAUACCCGAGAGUGAAAAGGACCUUUAUCCAUGCUUCUUAAUUAAGAGUACCGUAUCCAAGAUUUUCGAGCUUUUAAAAAUUUCUUGAUAUACCAAAGCACAAUUAGAGCACCCGUUCGACCCUCUAAACGUAUUUUUUUUUAUCUGAAAGUAAUGACGAGGGAAUAUCAACUUAUUAACUCUAAUUUCCGAAUAAGUCAUAAAAAAUCAAACAAUUAUUACGAGUUGUCAACCGCUCAACUUGGCGUUGCUAUCUUAGCACGCGCAUUACUCUCGCGUUAUUAGACAACUCCACUAUUCGACCACUCUUUGUUUUGCAUGUCUGAUAAUAAUGGUGGUCGUGUGAAAAUUUGUAGAUCAUCAAAACGGUUCCCUUAAUGUUUUUUGUAUCUUUAAAUUCAAUAGUCUACCAUGUGGAUAAAUUUCAGUUACAAUUUCGUUUUGUUUGUUUCUGAACGUUAUAACAUAUUGUGGGAGAACGAUAGAUCGGGGAUGGUCCUGCACAUAUGACGUCAUAUGUGGAUUGCGCGUUAGGGUUAAGGUAAGGGUUAGGCUUUGCCCAAGGUUAUGGUUGGGUUAGCAUUAGCCCUGUUUCCAUCUCGAGACUUGACGAAAUCUGCAGGUCCUAACCCGAACCCUAACCCACAAUCAACAUAUGACGUCAUAUGUGCUAAAAUGUGCAGGACCGUCGCCGAUCUAGCCUUCUCCCACAUACAUGGUGGUGCAGCGUCAAAUAGGACAAACUGAUCCGUGUUGAUUUUUAAUCAUAUUGCUAUAGCGAACUAUCAUAAUUCUAUAAAAAAAAAUCCCAAGGCCUGUUUUUGAAUUAGUGAAUUUACUUGAUUAAACGUUGUUUCUUUUUUGUAUAAUAUUAUCAUCACAAUCCCAACAUGCUCAAAUAUACAACUCUAAUGUAUUUAUAGAACUUAAUAGUCUUGUAAUAUUUUUAUGUUGUUUAGAUUUGCUUUUUAAAAAAAAACACUAUGUACAUUCCAGUAUUGAUUUUUAAAUUGUAUGUAGUAAAUAUCAUUGUAACAGAA